Molecule: ribosomal RNA, 406 nt
Filed under: uncultured bacterium
Lineage: Bacteria
Description: bacterial SSU rRNA
Rfam family: Bacterial small subunit ribosomal RNA
Source: RNAcentral
CAGCAGCCGCGGUAAUUCGAAGGGGGCUAGCGUUGUUCGGAAUUACUGGGCGUAAAGGGCGCGUAGGCGGCGCGUUAAGUCAGAUGUGAAAGCCCUGGGCUCAACCCAGGAAUUGCAUUUGAUACUGACGUGCUUGAAUCCGGAAGAGGAUGACGGAAUUCCCAGUGUAGAGGUGAAAUUCAUUGAUAUUGGGAAGAACACCAGUGGCGAAGGCGGUCAUCUGGUCCGGUAUUGACGCUGAGGCGCGAAAGCGUGGGGAGCAAACAGGAUUAGAUACCCUGGUAGUCCACGCCGUAAACGAUGAGUGCUAGACGUCGGGGGGUUGCCUCUCGGUGUCGCCGCUAACGCAUUAAGCACUCCGCCUGGGGAGUACGGCCGCAAGGUUAAAACUUAAAGGAAUUGACGG